CCUCUCAUAGCGUAGUGGUAACGCGCCCCAACUAGAGAUCGGGGAUUCGUGAGUUCGAUUCUCACUGAGAAGA
This 73-nucleotide transfer RNA is filed under the name Aedes aegypti (yellow fever mosquito). It matches the Rfam family "tRNA". Rfam says of the family: Transfer RNA (tRNA) molecules are approximately 80 nucleotides in length. The record is from Rfam by way of RNAcentral. Lineage: Eukaryota; Metazoa; Arthropoda; Insecta; Diptera; Culicidae.